RNAcentral lists this unclassified non-coding RNA (268 nucleotides) under uncultured fungus. RNAcentral describes it as "partial contains 5.8S ribosomal RNA, internal transcribed spacer 2, and large subunit ribosomal RNA". The stretch from base 1 to 52 matches the Rfam family "5.8S ribosomal RNA", at positions 103 to 154 of the family's 154-position model. The record is from RNAcentral. Lineage: Eukaryota; Fungi.
AACGCACAUUGCGCCCACUGGUAUUCCGGUGGGCAUGCCUGUCCGAGCGUCAUUUCAACCCUCGAGAACCCCUUUGCGGGGGGGAUCGGUGUUGGGGCUCGGCCGUCCCCCGUGGCGGCCGUCCCCUAAACUCAUUGGCGGUCUCGCUGUAGCCUCCUCUGCGCAGUAACUUACAUUCUCGCAGGCGGAGAGCGGCGCGGCCACGCCGUAAAACCCCAACUUUUACAAGGUUGACCUCGGAUCAGGUAGGAAUACCCGCUGAACUUAA